UGAGUUCUAAGUAGACUUCACAUUAUACAAGGCUUGCCAGUUACAAAACAAUAAAAAUGUCAUGAACUACUUAGUGGAUGAAGUUAAAACAACUGAGCAAGACAUCAUUUUGGAAUAUGACUAAACCAGUGAAAAAUAUACACCAGCAUGGAAAUAUGGAGUUUUCAGAAUCUUUCUAUUUCAAGCCCUAGAAGAAAUUUUUAUUUCCUCUCUUUUAGUGCUUGCUUAUGCAAGUACCAAAUAAUAGCUUGUUUGAAGAUCUGUGCUAAGGUUUUACCAUUGUG
Molecule: unclassified non-coding RNA, 284 nt
Filed under: Hevea brasiliensis (rubber tree)
Lineage: Eukaryota; Viridiplantae; Streptophyta; Magnoliopsida; Malpighiales; Euphorbiaceae
Source: RNAcentral